Molecule: transfer RNA, 73 nt
Filed under: Dehalococcoidales bacterium
Lineage: Bacteria; Bacillati; Chloroflexota; Dehalococcoidia; Dehalococcoidales
Also listed under: 2 other names
Description: tRNA-Ala
Rfam family: tRNA
About the family: Transfer RNA (tRNA) molecules are approximately 80 nucleotides in length. Their secondary structure includes four short double-helical elements and three loops (D, anti-codon, and T loops). Further hydrogen bonds mediate the characteristic L-shaped molecular structure. tRNAs have two regions of fundamental functional importance: the anti-codon, which is responsible for specific mRNA codon recognition, and the 3' end, to which the tRNAs corresponding amino acid is attached (by aminoacyl-tRNA synthetases). tRNAs cope with the degeneracy of the genetic code in two manners: having more than one tRNA (with a specific anti-codon) for a particular amino acid; and 'wobble' base-pairing, i.e. permitting non-standard base-pairing at the 3rd anti-codon position.
Source: RNAcentral
GGGGCCGUAGUUCAGUUGGGAGAACGCCUGCUUUGCACGCAGGAGGUAAGGGGUUCGAAUCCCCUCGGCUCCA